This 379-nucleotide ribosomal RNA is filed under the name uncultured eukaryote. RNAcentral describes it as "partial 18S ribosomal RNA". It matches the Rfam family "Eukaryotic small subunit ribosomal RNA", at positions 592 to 975 of the family's 1831-position model. The record is from RNAcentral.
CAAUAGCGUAUAUUAAAGUUGUUGCAGUUAAAAAGCUCGUAGUUGGAUUUGUGGCGUACGACGGGCUCCGGGCACUUGUUGUCUGAGUAGCUUGUCGUUGCCAUCCUUGGGUGGAACCUGUGUGGCAUUAGGUUGUCGUGCAGGGGAUGCCCAUCUUUUACUGUGAAAAAAUUAGAGUGUUCAAAGCAGGCUUAUGCCGUUGAAUAUAUUAGCAUGGAAUAAUAAGAUAGGACUUUGUCGCCAUUUUGUUGGUUUGCGCGAUAAGGUAAUGAUUAAUAGGGACAGUUGGGGGUAUUCGUAUUCCAUUGUCAGAGGUGAAAUUCUUGGAUUUUUGGAAGACGAACUACUGCGAAAGCAUUUACCAAGGAUGUUUUCAUUA